GACGAACCGUGCGAACGUUGUUCGGAUUCACUGGGCUUAAAGGGCGCGUAGGCGGACUCGCAAGUCUGUGGUGAAAGCCCCCAGCUCAACUGGGGAAGUGCCGUGGAUACUGUGAGUCUGGAGGAGGGUAGGGGCAUCUGGAACGCUGGGUGGAGCGGUGAAAUGCGUUGAUAUCCAGCGGAACUCCGGUGGCGAAGGCGAGGUGCUGGACCCUUUCUGACGCUGAGGCGCGAAAGCCAGGGGAGCAAACGGG
RNAcentral lists this ribosomal RNA (253 nucleotides) under uncultured bacterium. RNAcentral's name for it is "partial 16S ribosomal RNA". It matches the Rfam family "Bacterial small subunit ribosomal RNA", at positions 524 to 776 of the family's 1533-position model. The record is from RNAcentral.